RNAcentral lists this ribosomal RNA (468 nucleotides) under uncultured bacterium. RNAcentral's name for it is "partial 16S ribosomal RNA". It matches the Rfam family "Bacterial small subunit ribosomal RNA", at positions 28 to 507 of the family's 1533-position model. The record is from RNAcentral.
GACGAACGCUGGCGGCGUGCUUAACACAUGCAAGUCGAACGGAAAGGCCCUGCUUUUGUGGGGUUCUCGAGUGGCGAACGGGUGAGUAACACGUGAGUAACCUGCCCUUGACUUUGGGAUAACUUCAGGAAACUGGGGCUAAUACCGGAUAGGAUCUCCUGCUGCAUGGUGGGGGUUGGAAAAUUUCGGCUGUUGGGGAUGGACUCGCGGCUUAUCAGCUUGUUGGUGGGGUAGGGGCUUACCAAGGCUUUGACGGGUAGCCGGCCUGAGAGGGUGACCGGCCACAUUGGGACUGAGAUACGGCCCAGACUCCUACGGGAGGCAGCAGUGGGGAAUAUUGCACAAUGGGCGGAAGCCUGAUGCAGAAACGCCGCGUGCGGGAUGACGGCCUUCGGGUUGUAAACCGCUUUCGCCUGUGACGAAGCGUGAGUGACGGUAAUGGGUAAAGAAGCACCGGCUAACUACGUG